AAGCUAUGGAAUAGUCUCUCUAUCGAUACGAAACUGGCAGAAUCAAUGCACCUGUUCAAAAGCCAUUUAAAACUUAACUCUAAUACUAUAUAUAUUUGAAAUAAAUUGUAACUCCGUCUAACCAUAACAUCUGGGGUCACACCAAUUUGUAAAUAGUCUUCUUUUCCCUUAUAUCUUUUGUAAUUUUUAACAUUGUAGACGCCCCCCGUGGAAACCAACGUACCGUUGACGGGGC
Molecule: non-coding RNA, 235 nt
Organism: Paramuricea clavata
Lineage: Eukaryota; Metazoa; Cnidaria; Anthozoa; Malacalcyonacea; Plexauridae
Source: the annotation of a GenBank genome assembly